Molecule: RNA transcript, 811 nt
Organism: Prunus avium (sweet cherry)
Lineage: Eukaryota; Viridiplantae; Streptophyta; Magnoliopsida; Rosales; Rosaceae
Gene name: F-box/LRR-repeat protein At3g48880-like
Source: RefSeq, a predicted model, not a curated record
CUGCUUCGUCCUCCGGGUUCGGCACCGGAAAAAGACCCGACCCGCCUAGGCGCCCGCCUAGCCGCCUAGAGACCGCCUAGCGACCGCCUAGCAGCCUAGCGGGCGUUCUUGAAGGGUUCAACGACAAUUCACAAGAUGCACAUUCUUGAAGUUCAUAAACAACCUUUCUGAUGACCCGCUGCUGAAGACGCUUGGGCCUAACUUCAGAUCCUAUUUCUAUCGAGCUUUUCAUCAGUUCAAGAGAGUCUUUGCAGAAUUUAAAAGGUCUCACCAUGAGGUUUUCUUACCAUGAAUGCAUAUGCUAUAUUGUGGAGGACUGCACCAUUAUUUACAAUCACGACCGCCUAGGCCAAUUUUCUUUUUACAGUUACAACAUUUCAUCGAAGAGAAACUGGAAAAGAAUGAAUUCACAGCAGCUCUUGCAAAUGAGGAAUUAGUUUUCUUUAUGAGUUGCUCUCAUCAAAACUCACUAGCUGAAAGCGUCACAAGUUCUGACUGAAAGAAAUUUUCGAGAAUUUGAUAUUGUUAACAGGGUGCUCUGCAGCUCAGUGAUACUCACCCAUCUCUAAAAAAUAGCUGAGGUCAUGAGAGUGCUUGUUGAUGAAGAGCAUUUGGGUUGGAAUAAAGCGUGGGACAUUGCUUGCAACUGGCUUGCGAGCAUAUGCAACAGAUCCUGACCUUCGCCAAGAAUGGAUGAUGGUUAAGAAGGUUAACAAAAUGAGGCUCGCUGAGUACAUUGAAGCAAUGAGUGGUGUGAAGGUUAGUUUAGAUGCAAUGUUUGAUGUGCACACAAAGCGAAUACACGAGUACA